Molecule: long non-coding RNA, 998 nt
Filed under: Homo sapiens (human)
Lineage: Eukaryota; Metazoa; Chordata; Mammalia; Primates; Hominidae
Description: HSALNT0337172
Source: RNAcentral
CUAGAUUAAUGUAAUACCUUCUAAACAGUCUCUUAAUCUUUUAAUAUCUUCCUUAUUCUAUUCAAUCCUGUGUUCUGCCAACCAAUUACUAUUCCUCAAAAACCACUUUGUUUAAUCUCUCUGAAUUCCGACUGCCUACAUAGUAAGAUUCUAAUUCUUUGGUUUAGCUUUCAAGAUUCUAUUCAAUCCAACUUUAACCUACCUUUUUUGUUCCAUUCCUCUCCCCUCCCCAUCCACUCUAGUUAGAGGGAUGUGGACUAGAAUGGGAAUAAGGACGCAGACUCCAGAGCAGACUGCCUGCAUGAACUCCAGGUCCCCACCAGCCAGUUCUAAACUAAAAGUUCAGAUAUUCUGAACCAUGGAACAAACAUGAUGUGGCCUGCUGAAGUAGAAAUGUGGACUUUUGGGAUGUGAGACCGAAAUCACUCAUAGAUAAGGGUCCUUCCUAAAUCUACAGAGUGGGCAACAAACCUAAUUCACUUGUUAAAAUAAUCAUUGAGAUGGAAAUUGCAAACGUUCUGACUCUGGAGAGACAGAGGGUGACUGGCAGGCAAAGGAGAAAUCUCAGGCUUCAGUAAUGAGAAUUUUUCAUGAGUCGCCUAAUCAAGCUCAUGAGACCUGGAGAGUCUAUGAGGAAAGGGUUCAGUGAUAGAGAAAGCCGGAGAUGAUGAGGCUGGGAGAGUAAGCUUCUCUUACCAUUGUUCUCUAUUCUCCCUACUCCCAUAUUCUUCCAGUGGGACAAAGUGCCCCAAAGUAUAAGUCAGUGUGUCCCAAGGGGUCUGGAGUUUAGGUACCUGAACAUGGAAGAGGGCCUUGCUAAACUGGUUUGACCUUUCUCUCAUCCCCAGCAAAGUUCUGAAUGCGGGUUCUGACUCUGAGCUGAAGGCAUACUUCAUGAAGUUUCCUGCUGCCCUUUCACUACACAGCUGGACUUGGAGGCAAACUUGGAGAUAAAAAUAUAGUUCCCGUGCUAUCCCUUAUAAAGAUUUAAGAGAAAG